GGGACAACAGUUGGAAACGACUGCUAAUACCGCAUAAGCCCACGACCCGGCAUCGGGAAGAGGGAAAAGGAGCAAUCCGCUUUGAGAUGGCCUCGCGUCCGAUUAGCUGGUUGGUGAGGUAACGGCCCACCAAGGCGACGAUCGGUAGCCGGACUGAGAGGUUGAACGGCCACAUUGGGACUGAGACACGGCCCAGACUCCUACGGGAGGCAGCAGUGGGGAAUAUUGCACAAUGGGGGAAACCCUGAUGCAGCGACGCCGCGUGGAGGAAGAAGGUCUUCGGAUUGUAAACUCCUGUUGUUGAGGAAGAUAAUGACGGUACUCAACAAGGAAGUGACGGCUAACUACGUGCCAGCAGCCGCGGUAAAACGUAGGUCACAAGCGUUGUCCGGAAUUACUGGGUGUAAAGGGAGCGCAGGCGGGCGAUCAAGUUGGAAGUGAAAUCCAUGGGCUCAACCCAUGAACUGCUUUCAAAACUGGUCGUCUUGAGUAGUGCAGAGGUAGGCGGAAUUCCCGGUGUAGCGGUGGAAUGCGUAGAUAUCGGGAGGAACACCAGUGGCGAAGGCGGCCUACUGGGCACCAACUGACGCUGAGGCUCGAAAGUGUGGGUAGCAAACAGGAUUAGAUACCCUGGUAGUCCACACCGUAAACG
RNAcentral lists this ribosomal RNA (652 nucleotides) under uncultured bacterium. Its description in RNAcentral is "bacterial SSU rRNA". It matches the Rfam family "Bacterial small subunit ribosomal RNA", at positions 140 to 808 of the family's 1533-position model. The record is from RNAcentral.